AUGGCGCGGCGCGGGCGUGUGGAGCUGCGGCGGAUCGAGGACCGGACCAACCGGCAGGUGUGCUUCUCCAAGCGCCGCUCGGGGCUCUUCAAGAAGGCCUUCGAGCUCUCGCUCCUCUGCGACGCCGAUGUCGCGCUGCUCGUCUUCUCCCCCGCCGGAAAGCUCUACGAGUACUCCUCCUCCAGCAUAGAAGCUACAUAUGAUCGCUAUCAGAGAUUUGCGGGACCCGGAAUGAACGUGAAUGGAGGCGAUGCAAGGAACAAAAAUGAUGGUGAUCCUUCAAACAUACAGUCAAGGCUUGAAGACAUCGCUUCCUGGUCUCUUCAAAAUAAUGCUGAUGACUCCGAUGCCACUAAGCUGGAGAAACUGGAGAAACUCUUGACAGAUGCUUUGAGGAAUACAAAAUCCAAGAAGAUGUUGGCGCAACUAAAUAGCGGCGCAAGCACGAGUGCAAGCGCCCAGAACUCCAAUGGCCCUAGGGGACUGGAAGGAGGAAGGACUUGA
This 504-nucleotide ribosomal RNA is filed under the name Triticum aestivum (bread wheat). RNAcentral describes it as "partial small subunit ribosomal RNA". Lineage: Eukaryota; Viridiplantae; Streptophyta; Magnoliopsida; Poales; Poaceae. The record is from RNAcentral.